This 657-nucleotide long non-coding RNA is filed under the name Felis catus (domestic cat). Its description in RNAcentral is "lncRNA (ENSFCAG00000053172.1)". The record is from RNAcentral. Lineage: Eukaryota; Metazoa; Chordata; Mammalia; Carnivora; Felidae.
CACCUGUAUACGGAGUGACUUAAACCCUCCUUACCCCUUUGAUUGUGCCAUCUGCUUUUCUGUUUAGAUUAUAAUAUAGGCUAAAAACCACCUAUCCUAAGAAUAAGGUUUUAAGUCAGGCAGCCACAAAAUUCUCUGAUUGCAGCUACCACAUAGUUCCAUCAUCAUCACAAGACUAAGACUGAAGAAUUCUUUUAAGGCACAAUGGGAGCUCACCAAAGUCUAGAGUUCCAAUGUUUUCUGAGAAUCUGGGAUUUUCCUAUCCAAUGUAAUUCAAGGGACCACUGGCAUUGGUAAACACACUCCUGGAGCACAUCUGUCCUUCCAUUCCCAUCAAUCAGCAACACGAAGCUCUCCAUCUGGUGGGAAGAAGGCAAUCCAGCUUCUCGCGUACUUCUCAAAGAAGUCAUAUAUUUCUCCCAUGAAGGUAAACAGGCUCAGAUAUUCUUCAUGCUAGAACUCGGUUGGAAGUAUCAGCUUUUGAUUCUCCCAGUGGCUAUCACUAUAACUUUAUAAACAAAAAAAAAAAAGGAGAAAUAUACGAAGAUGGUAAUGAAAUAGUAAAGUUAAAAACCAAAUCAAUAUUCACCAUAAGAAACUCUGAAUAUUAUACCUCUAAUUAAUAAAUGUCUUGUUUAGGGAUGCCUGGGUGGCUCA